RNAcentral lists this ribosomal RNA (481 nucleotides) under uncultured Methanosaeta sp. Its description in RNAcentral is "bacterial SSU rRNA". It matches the Rfam family "Archaeal small subunit ribosomal RNA", at positions 857 to 1338 of the family's 1478-position model. Lineage: Archaea; Methanobacteriati; Methanobacteriota; Methanomicrobia; Methanotrichales; Methanotrichaceae. The record is from RNAcentral.
CAAAGGAAUUGACGGGGAGCACCACAACGGGUGGAGCUUGCGGUUUAAUUGGAUUCAACGCCGGAAAUCUUACCGGGACCGACAGCAAUAUGAAGGCCAGGCUGAAGACUUUGCCGGAUUAGCUGAGAGGUGGUGCAUGGCCGUCGUCAGUUCGUACUGUGAAGCAUCCUGUUAAGUCAGGCAACGAGCGAGACCCACGCCCACAGUUGCCAGCGUACUCUCUGGAGUGACGGGUACACUGUGGGGACCGCCGCUGCUAAAGCGGAGGAAGGAAUGGGCAACGGUAGGUCAGUAUGCCCCGAAUAUCCCGGGCUACACGCGAGCUACAAUGGUUGGUACAAUGGGUAUCUACCCCGAAAGGGGACGGGAAUCUCCUAAAACCAAUCUUAGUUCGGAUUGAGGGCUGCAACUCGCCCUCAUGAAGCUGGAAUCCGUAGUAAUCGCGUUUCAACAGAACGCGGUGAAUACGUCCCUGCUCCUU